UGGGGAAUUUUGGACAAUGGGGGAAACCCUGAUCCAGCCAUCCCGCGUGUGCGAUGAAGGCCUUCGGGUUGUAAAGCACUUUUGGCAGGAAAGAAACGUCGCGGGUUAAUACCCCGCGAAACUGACGGUACCUGCAGAAUAAGCACCGGCUAACUACGUGCCAGCAGCCGCGGUAAUACGUAGGGUGCAAGCGUUAAUCGGAAUUACUGGGCGUAAAGCGUGCGCAGGCGGUUCGGAAAGAAAGAUGUGAAAUCCCAGAGCUUAACUUUGGAACUGCAUUUUUAACUACCGGGCUAGAGUGUGUCAGAGGGAGGUGGAAUUCCGCGUGUAGCAGUGAAAUGCGUAGAUAUGCGGAGGAACACCGAUGGCGAAGGCAGCCUCCUGGGAUAACACUGACGCUCAUGCACGAAAGCGUGGGGAGCAAACAGGAUUAGAUACCCUGGUAGUCCACGCCCUAAACGAUGUCAACUAGCUGUUGGGGGCCUUCGGGCCUUGGUAGCGCAGCUAACGCGUGAAGUUGACCGCCUGGGGAGUACGGUCGCAAGAUUAAAACUCAAAUGAAUUG
RNAcentral lists this ribosomal RNA (565 nucleotides) under uncultured bacterium. RNAcentral's name for it is "partial 16S ribosomal RNA". It matches the Rfam family "Bacterial small subunit ribosomal RNA", at positions 355 to 912 of the family's 1533-position model. The record is from RNAcentral.